AAGCUUGUUCCUCUUCCGCUCUGUUGCACAGGUUGAAUUGACCAAAGCAAUGGUGAUAGAGAAGCCUAGUCCCCUGCUGGUCAGGCAGGAAUUUGUGAGACAGUAUUAUACACUGCUGAACCAGGCCCCAGACAUGCUAUAUAGGAAAUCCAUAGGAAAGUGAUGUCACAAAACUUCGCCAACUGCCACACCAAGAUUCGCCAUGUUGAUGCUCAUGCCACUCUGAAUGAUGCUGUGGUGGUCCAGGUGAUGGGGCUUCUCUCUAAUAACAACCAGGCUUUGAGGAGAUUCAUGCAGACGUCUGUCCUUGCUCCUGAGGGCUCUGUUGCAAAUAAGUUCUAUGUUCACAAUGAUAUCUUCAGAUACCAAGAUGAGGUCUUUGUUGGCUUUGUCACUGAGCCUCGGGAGGAAUCUGAGGAAGAAGUAGCGGAACCUGAAGAAAGACAGCAGAUGCCUAAAGUGGUUAUUGAUGAUUCUGGAACUUUCUAUGAUCAGACUGUUGUCAGUAAUGACAUGGAAGAACAUUUAGAGGAGCCUGUUGCUGAACCAGAGCCUGAUCCUGAACCAGAACCAGAGCAAGAACCUGUAUCUGAAAUCCAAGAGGAAAAGUCUGAGCCAGUAUUAGAAGAAACUUCUCCUGAGGAUACUCAGAAGAGUUCUUCUCCAGCACCUGCAGACAUAGCUCAAACAGUUUAGGAAGACUUGAAGACUUUUCCUUUGGCAUCUGUGACCAGUAAGAACCUUCCACCCAGUGGAGCUGUUCUGGUUACUGGGAUACCACCUCAUGUUGUUAAAGUACCAGAUUCACAGCCUCAUCCAGAGUCUAAGCCUGAAUCUCAGAUUCCACCAUGGAGACCUCAGAGGGAUCAAAGAGUUUGAGAACAAUGAAUAAAUAUUCCUCCCCAGAGAGGCCCCAGACCAAUUCGUGAGGCUGGUGAGCAAGGUGAUGUUGAACUCCGAAGAAUUAUGAGACACCCUGACAGUCAUCAACUUUUCAUUGGCAACCUGCCUCAUGAGGUGGACAAAUCAGAGCUUAAAGAUUUCUUUCAAAGCUAUGGGAAUGUGGUGGAGCUGCACAUUAACAGUGGUGGGAAGUUACCCAAUUUUGGUUUUGUUGUGUUUGAUGAUUCUGAGCCUGUUCAGAAAGUCCUUAGCAACAGGCCCAUCAUGUUCAGAGGUGAGGUCCGUCUGAAUGUGGAAGAGAAGAAGACUUGAGCUGCCAGGGAAGGGGACCGUCGAGAUAACCACGUGUGGGGACCUGGAGACCCUCGAGGUGGGCUGGGUGGUGGAAUGAGAGGCCCUCCCCGUGGAGGCAUUGUGCAGAAACCAGGAUUUGGAGUGGGAAGGGGGAUUGCUCCAAGGCAGUGAAUUGCUCUUCACUGAUCUUCACACAGCAGUUCACACCCUAACUCCUGCAGAAUGGUGAAUUUCUUCAGCCAGCCUUUGGUAUCUUGGAGUAUGAUCCUAGUCUGUUAUAAACUGCUUAAGUUUGUACAAUUUUACUUUCAUUUUGUGUUAAUGGUGUGUGCUCCCUCCCCAUCUCUUCCCUCUCCUGACCUUUAGUCCUUCACUUCCAAUUUUGUGGAAUGAUAUUUUAGGAGUAACGGAUUUUUAAAGAAG
Microcebus murinus (gray mouse lemur) is the source of this 1620-nucleotide non-coding RNA. NCBI's taxonomy places the organism in Eukaryota, Metazoa, Chordata, Mammalia, Primates, Cheirogaleidae. The record is from RefSeq and is a predicted model, not a curated record.